RNAcentral lists this ribosomal RNA (724 nucleotides) under uncultured bacterium. RNAcentral's name for it is "bacterial SSU rRNA". It matches the Rfam family "Bacterial small subunit ribosomal RNA", at positions 180 to 925 of the family's 1533-position model. The record is from RNAcentral.
CGAGGUUUUAAUCGACCUUGGAGAAAGAUUUAUCGCCGGAGGAUUGGCCCGCGUCUGAUUAGCUUGUUGGUGAGGUAAUGGCUCACCAAGGCGACGAUCAGUAGCUGGUCUGAGAGGAUGAUCAGCCACAUUGGGACUGAGACACGGCCCAAACUCCUACGGGAGGCAGCAGUGGGGAAUAUUGGACAAUGGGCGAAAGCCUGAUCCAGCCAUGCCGCGUGAGUGAUGAAGGCCUUAGGGUUGUAAAGCUCUUUUACCCGGGAAGAUAAUGACGGUACCGGGAGAAUAAGCCCCGGCUAACUUCGUGCCAGCAGCCGCGGUAAUACGAAGGGGGCUAGCGUUGUUCGGAAUUACUGGGCGUAAAGCGCACGUAGGCGGAUCUUUAAGUCAGGGGUGAAAUCCCGAGGCUCAACCUCGGAACUGCCUUUGAUACUGGGGAUAUCGAGUCCGGGAGAGGUGAGUGGAACUGCGAGUGUAGAGGUGAAAUUCGUAGAUAUUCGCAAGAACACCAGUGGCGAAGGCGGCUCACUGGCCCGGUACUGACGCUGAGGUGCGAAAGCGUGGGGAGCAAACAGGAUUAGAUACCCUGGUAGUCCACGCCGUAAACGAUGGAUGCUAGCCGUUAGACAGCUUGCUGUUUAGUGGCGCAGUUAACGCGUUAAGCAUCCCGCCUGGGGAGUACGGUCGCAAGAUUAAAACUCAAAGGAAUUGACGGAAUCGAAUU